Molecule: non-coding RNA, 115 nt
Organism: Danio rerio (zebrafish)
Lineage: Eukaryota; Metazoa; Chordata; Actinopteri; Cypriniformes; Danionidae
Source: Rfam
GCCGGCAGCUAGCUCUCUGCAACUCUCACAUGGUCACCCACUGAAGCUAAGCAGGGCUGUGCCUGGUCAGUACCUGGAUGGGAGACCACAUGGGAAAGCUAGGUUGCUGCUGGAA